Molecule: ribosomal RNA, 271 nt
Filed under: uncultured bacterium
Lineage: Bacteria
Description: partial 16S ribosomal RNA
Rfam family: Bacterial small subunit ribosomal RNA
Source: RNAcentral
UGAGGAAUAUUGGUCAAUGGGCGCAAGCCUGAACCAGCCAUCCCGCGUGGAGGAAGAAGGCGCUAUGCGUUGUAAACUUCUUUUCCAGGGGGAGAAUUUUUCCGUCGUGACGGGAAUUGACGGUACUCUGGGAAUAAGCAUCGGCUAACUCCGUGCCAGCAGCCGCGGUAAUACGGAGGAUGCGAGCGCUAUCCGGAUUUAUUGGGUUUAAAGGGUGCGUAGGCGGAUUGAUAAGUCAGUGGUGAAAGGCUGCAGCUUAACUGUAGACUUG